Molecule: long non-coding RNA, 347 nt
Organism: Bos taurus (domestic cattle)
Lineage: Eukaryota; Metazoa; Chordata; Mammalia; Artiodactyla; Bovidae
Source: Ensembl
UUGGGAGUUGGGGAAUGAAAGCUUUUCUUUCUUUCUUUUUUUUUUCUUCCCUCUUCUUGCCUUCUUUAUUAUUAAUAUUUUGUAAAGCUUCAGUGCUAAGAGGAGUGGCCCUGAGAGAGGACAGACUCUUCACGGACGGCGGGGAGAGCAGCGGCUCCACCAGGAGACGGCGCCGACCCGCAGUGGCCGCCCGAGGGAGACCCCGACCGUCGGCCGAGGGCCCUAUCCUUCGAGGUGUUCCAGGGAGACCCUGAGGGGUGUGGAACGUGCACCCACAGGGCACAGGGGCUCGAUCCCUGGUCCCAGAAGAUCCCACAUGCCGAGGGGCAACUAAGACCAUGAGCUAC